This 253-nucleotide ribosomal RNA is filed under the name uncultured bacterium. RNAcentral describes it as "partial 16S ribosomal RNA". It matches the Rfam family "Bacterial small subunit ribosomal RNA", at positions 524 to 776 of the family's 1533-position model. The record is from RNAcentral.
UACGAAGGUGGCAAGCGUUGUCCGGAUUUACUGGGCGUAAAGAGCGCGCAGGCGGUCGUUCAAGUCGCGUGUGAAAGCCCCCGGCUCAACUGGGGAGGGUCACGCGAUACUGAUCGACUCGAAGGCAGGAGAGGGUAGUGGAAUUCCCGGUGUAGUGGUGAAAUGCGUAGAUAUCGGGAGGAACGCCAGUGGCGAAGGCGACUACCUGGCCUGUUCUUGACGCUGAGGCGCGAAAGCUAGGGGAGCAAACGGG